AGACGUCACAAGAGGAGCGGAGGCGAGGGGUGAAAGCGAAGCACUCCAAUCAGAGAGUCAUUGUUUCUAUUGGCACAAUGGGAGGCUCCGCCCCUCACGGAGGACUCGUCGCAUGGGCGAGGGGGCUCCAGGGGUUGUCGGCUAAACGUGAGAGAUAGUCCAGGAGGUACACUAUACGGACCGGCCUCCAAAGGCAGAAUUGAUAACGAGAUGCAGCGCCGGGUGCAGAGGACGCGGGCAUCCCGACACCCAGGAAGAGAGACGGGGUCUCACCAUGUAUUGAACUCCCGGUCUUGAACUCCUGGGCUCAAGCAAUCCGCCCGUCUUGGCCUCCCGAAGUGCUGGGAUUAUAGGUGUGAGCAACCGUGCCUGGCAACCCAGAAGUGGUUUUGACAGCACCAGCGCUUUCUGGGUCCACAAUCUACCAGGUGUACCUUUCCAGGGGAAGACCUGGCCAACCUGUCCAGCUCAAUUAUUCAGCAGUUCUUUGACCUCACUGAGAUCUCCAAUCCAUUGUACAUCAUCUCAGCUAUUGACCUGUGUCAUUAGCCUUAUAGAGUCCAGUGCCAUGGCAACUCCCUGCCCUGUUCUUCUUAGACAAACUUGCUGGGCUAAAAUCUAACCCCAGUUAAAAUAGACUAUGUAUUCUUUGUCUCUAGCGCAGCAGAACAUUGCUGGAGGAAAACAAACAACCAUGAUAAUUGGUCUCAUUUUAUAUUCAUGACCACAAGCCUCAGUAUUAUAUUGGAGGGCCUAUCCAGUGCAGUAGGGCAAGAAAAAUAAUAAAAAGUUAUGAAGAUUGGAAGGGAAAAAAAUCUUAUUCCCAAGCAGUAGGAUUGUAUAUGUAAAAAUUUCAAAAGAACCUAUACGUAAGUUGUUAGAAUGAGUUCGGCAAAGUUGUUGGACACAAGAUCAAUAUAUAAAAAUCAGAUGUAAUUUCUAUAUGUCAGCAACAAUUAGAAAAUAAAUUUCUUGGCUGGGCGGGUUGGCUUAUGCCUGUAAUCCCAGCACUUUGGGUGGCCGAGGCGGGAAGAUCACCUGAAGUCAGGAGUUUGAGACCAGCUUGGCCAACAUGGUGAAACCCUGUCUCUACUAAAAAUACAGAAAUUUAGCUGGGCGUGGUGGUGGGCACCUGUAGUCCCAGCUACUCAGGAGGUUGAGCCAGGAGAAUCAUUUGAACCUGGGAGGCAGAGGUUGCAGUGAACGAGAAAAACAAACAAACAAAAGAAAAGAAAUUUCUUAAAAACAAUGAUGUUUACAAUAGCAUCAAGUAAUAUCAAAUGCUGAGGAAUAAACCUAAUGAAAGAUGUGCAAAGACUACAUACACACAUACAAAAAAACUAUAAAACAUUAUUGAGGGAAACAAAGACAUAGGCCUGGCAUGGUGGCUCAUGCCUGAAAUCUCAGCACUUCGGAGGGCCAAGGCGGGUGGAUCCCUUGAGGUCAGAAGUUCAAUAUCAGUCUGGCCAACAUGGUGAAACCUCAUCUCUACUAAAAACGCAAAAAAAAUUAGCUGGGCAUGCUGUUGUGCACCUGUAAUCCCAGCUACUCUGGAGGCUGAGGCAGGAGAAGUGCCUGAACCUGGGAGGCAGAGGUUGCAGUGAGCCAAGAUCAUGCCAUUGCACUCCAGCCUGGGCAACACAGCCAGACCCUAUCUGAAAAAAAAAAAAAA
RNAcentral lists this long non-coding RNA (1672 nucleotides) under Macaca mulatta (Rhesus monkey). RNAcentral describes it as "lncRNA (ENSMMUG00000064174.1)". Lineage: Eukaryota; Metazoa; Chordata; Mammalia; Primates; Cercopithecidae. The record is from RNAcentral.